Molecule: long non-coding RNA, 379 nt
Organism: Sapajus apella (tufted capuchin)
Lineage: Eukaryota; Metazoa; Chordata; Mammalia; Primates; Cebidae
Exons: 3
Source: RefSeq, a predicted model, not a curated record
UAAUCAUAAAUGAAAAAGUUUAUAUUUAAUGGUUUUGUCCUUGCGGACUUUAUAGUAGAACUGGAAAGAAAAUUAAGUAAGCCUUUGCAUUGUUUUAUUUUUGAUGAGUAUAGGGUACCAAGAGUUUUUAUAACCAGCAUAUUGAUUUGUCACUCUGUUUGAGCUCGGGAAAGUUUUUCUCCCCAAUGAGGUGGUUUUGAGGAAUUUAAAAAUGAAAUUAUUUUUGUAAAUCUUUAGUCAGUGUCUGACACAAAAUCACCAUACAGCAAAUGUUACCUAGCAUUAACAUGUUUAAUUAAGAUGAGAUCUAAAAGAUCUAAAUCCGGUAGAACUUAAAUGACAAAGAUAAGAGGAAAGGUGAUUCAGGAAAAUGCAACAG